RNAcentral lists this long non-coding RNA (651 nucleotides) under Homo sapiens (human). Its description in RNAcentral is "non-protein coding lnc-GGT2-26:13". The record is from RNAcentral. Lineage: Eukaryota; Metazoa; Chordata; Mammalia; Primates; Hominidae.
UCGCUAACGAGGCCGCCGACAAGGGCAUCGCCAACGAGGACGCCGCCCACGGCAUCGCCAACGAGGACGCCGCCCACGGCAUCGCCAGCGAGGACGCCGCCCACGGAAUCGCCAGCGAGGACGCCGCCCACGGCAUCGCCAGCGAGGACGCCGCCCAGGGCAUCGCCAACGAGGACGCCGCCCAGGGCAUCGCCAAGGAGGACGCCGUCCACGGCAUCGCCAACGAGGACGCCGCCCAGGGCAUCGCCAAGGAGGACGCCGCCCAGGGCAUCGCCAACGAGGACGCCGCCCAGGGCAUCGCCAAAGAGGACGCCGCCCAGGGCAUCGCCAAGGAGGACGCCGCCCAGGGCAUCGCCAACGAGGGCGCCGCCCAGGGCAUCGCCAAAGAGGACGCCGCCCAUGGCAUCGCCAACGAGGACGCCGCCCAGGGCAUCGCCAACGAGGACGCCGCCCACGGAAUCGCCAGCGAGGACGCCGCCCACGGCAUCGCCAGCGAGGACGCCGUCCAGGGCAUCGCCAAGGAGGAUGCCGCCCAGGGCAUCGCCAACGAGGACGCCGCCCAGGGCAUCGCCAACGAGGACGCCGCCCAGGGCAUCGCCAAAGAGGACGCCGCCCACGGCAUCGCCAACGAGCUGUAUACGACAUCGCUAA